This 390-nucleotide ribosomal RNA is filed under the name uncultured Thermovirga sp. RNAcentral's name for it is "bacterial SSU rRNA". It matches the Rfam family "Bacterial small subunit ribosomal RNA", at positions 1003 to 1382 of the family's 1533-position model. The record is from RNAcentral. Lineage: Bacteria; Thermotogati; Synergistota; Synergistia; Synergistales; Thermovirgaceae.
GGUAAAGGACUUACUCUUCGGAGUGAGAGCGUACACAGGUGCUGCAUGGCUGUCGUCAGCUCGUGUCGUGAGAUGUUGGGUUAAGUCCCGCAACGAGCGCAACCCUGCAUUCAGUUGCCAUCGGUAAGGCCGGGCACUCUGGAUGGACUGCCGGCGACAAGCCGGAGGAAGGUGGGGACGACGGUCAAGUCAUCAUGGCCCUUAUGUCCAGGGCGACACACGUGCUACAAUGGCCGGCACAACGGGAAAGCGAAGGGGGCGACCCUGAGCGGAUCCCACAAAAGCCGGUCUCAGUUCGGAUUGCAGUCUGCAACUCGACUGCAUGAAGUUGGAAUCGCUAGUAAUCGUGGAUCAGGGGGCCAAGCCGCGGUGAAUACGUUCCCGGGCCUU